Molecule: ribosomal RNA, 583 nt
Filed under: Conus tinianus
Lineage: Eukaryota; Metazoa; Mollusca; Gastropoda; Neogastropoda; Conidae
Description: partial 12S ribosomal RNA
Rfam family: Microsporidia small subunit ribosomal RNA
Source: RNAcentral
UGCCAGCAGUCGCGGUUAAACCAAGAAAUUUAGUCAUUCUUUUCCGGUAAAAAGACAGUUAGGCAACUGAAAAUCAUUAGACCUUUAAUGUAGGGGUAAAAUCUAAAUACUAAAGGUUAUACCAGAUAUGAUUUAUUUUAAAUGCUGAAUCUGUGACGACUUUAAGGGAAACUGGGAUUGGAUACCCCAUUAUUUUUAGUAGUAAAUUUAAUUUAAGUUUACCAGAGUACUACGAAUAAAAAAUUUAAAACUCAAAGAGCUUGGCGGUGUUUUAGACCUCUCAGGGGAACCUGUCUCGUAAUCGACAAUCCACGCUAUACCUGGCCCUUUAUAGCAAUUCAGUCUGUAUACCGUUGUCGUCAGGUAACUUCUUAAAAUAUAGUAGUUAGCUCGAGAAUUUUAUUAAUUAAUACGUCAGAUCAAGGUGCAGCUAAUAAAAGGGAGAGGAUGGGUUACAAUUAUAUAUUUAUAAUUACGGAAGAUAUUUCAAAAGAAAUACUCGGAAGGAGGACUUGAAAGUAAUUUUGAUUAGAUAAACAGAAUGAAUAAGGCUCUGAAACGUGCACACAUCGCCCGUCGCUCU